Long non-coding RNA from Oncorhynchus keta (chum salmon), 1721 nucleotides. RefSeq lists it as uncharacterized. The transcript is spliced from 3 exons. Lineage: Eukaryota; Metazoa; Chordata; Actinopteri; Salmoniformes; Salmonidae. The record is from RefSeq and is a predicted model, not a curated record.
CCAGUUGUAUGAGCCGUAGUGUUAAUGUUGUCUAAGUAUCGUUAGUGGUGACUAACCAUAUCACACGUGCUACAGUAUAAAUACGUGUUUCAGAGAGCUAAAGCAUGUUUUCUAUUGACGGCAGGAUGACGUCACUGUGUUUUUGUCUUUGCAGGGGAACCUGAAACAGGAGAUGAAGAAGAUGCAGGGAACAGAACAGUCUUUAAUUAGCAGAGUGACUGAGAUGACAGACAGGAAACAGAGAUUCCAGGUAAGAAGGACAGGACCUCAGUUGGACCAGGGAUUUUUUUUUUUUUUUUUAGGUCUGACCUGACACAAAAGCCUAAUAAUGUAGACACCCUGUAUCCCUCUAAAUCAAAUGUUACAGUUCACCUUGCAGUGAAAUGCUGAAUACAACAGGUGUAGUAGACCUUACAGUGAAAUGCUGAAUACAACAGGUGUAGUAGACCUUACAGUGAAAUGCUGAAUACAACAGGUGUAGUAGACCUUACAGUGAAAUGCUGAAUACAACAGGUGUAGUAGACCUUACAGUGAAAUGCUGAAUACAACAGGUGUAGUAGACCUCACAGUGAAAUGCUGAAUACAACAGGUGUAGUAGACCUCACAGUGAAAUGCUGAAUACAACAGGUGUAGUAGACCUUACAGUGAAAUGCUGAAUACAACAGGUGUAGUAGACCUUACAGUGAAAUGCUGAAUACAACAGGUGUAGUAGACCUUACAGUGAAAUGCUGAAUACAACAGGUGUAGUAGACCUUACAGUGAAAUGCUGAAUACAACAGGUGUAGUAGACCUCACAGUGAAAUGCUGAAUACAACAGGUGUAGUAGACCUCACAGUGAAAUGCUGAAUACAACAGGUGUAGUAGACCUCACAGUGAAAUGCUGAAUACAACAGGUGUAGUAGACCUCACAGUGAAAUGCUGAAUACAACAGGUGUAGUAGACCUCACAGUGAAAUGCUGAAUACAACAGGUGUAGUAGACCUUACAGUGAAAUGCUGAAUACAACAGGUGUAGUAGACCUUACAGUGAAAUGCUGAAUACAACAGGUGUAGUAGACCUCACAGUGAAAUGCUGAAUACAACAGGUGUAGUAGACCUCACAGUGAAAUGCUGAAUACAACAGGUGUAGUAGACCUCACAGUGAAAUGCUGAAUACAACAGGUGUAGUAGACCUCACAGUGAAAUGCUGAAUACAACAGGUGUAGUAGACCUCACAGUGAAAUGCUGAAUACAACAGGUGUAGUAGACCUUACAGUGAAAUGCUGAAUACAACAGGUGAAGUAGACCUUACAGUGAAAUGUUGAUACAGGGGGUACCGGUACAGAGUCAAUGUGGAGACUAUAUACAGGGGGUACCGGUACAGAGUCAAUGUGGAGGCUAUAUACAGGGGGUACCGGUACAGAGUCAAUGUGGAGGCUAUAUACAGGGGGUACCGGUACAGAGUCAAUGUGGAGACUAUAUACAGGGGGUACCGGUACAGAGUCAAUGUGGAGACUAUAUACAGGGGGUACUGGUACAGAGUCAAUGUGGAGACUAUAUACAGGGGGUACUGGUACAGAGUCAAUGUGGAGGCUAUAUACAGGGGGUACCGGUACAGAGUCAAUGUGGAGAUUAUAUACAGGGGGUACCGGUACAGAGUCAAUGUGGAGAUUAUAUACAGGGGGUACUGGUACAGAGUCAAUGUGGAGGCUAUAUACAGGGGGUACCGGUACAGAGUCAAUGU